SKGGCGUGCCUAAUACAUGCAAGUCGAGCGGACAGAUGGGAGCUUGCUCCCUGAUGUUAGCGGCGGACGGGUGAGUAACACGUGGGUAACCUGCCUGUAAGACUGGGAUAACUCCGGGAAACCGGGGCUAAUACCGGAUGCUUGUUUGAACCGCAUGGUUCAAACAUAAAAGGUGGCUUCGGCUACCACUUACAGAUGGACCCGCGGCGCAUUAGCUAGUUGGUGAGGUAAUGGCUCACCAAGGCGACGAUGCGUAGCCGACCUGAGAGGGUGAUCGGCCACACUGGGACUGAGACACGGCCCAGACUCCUACGGGAGGCAGCAGUAGGGAAUCUUCCGCAAUGGACGAAAGUCUGACGGAGCAACGCCGCGUGAGUGAUGAAGGUUUUCGGAUCGUAAAGCUCUGUUGUUAGGGAAGAACAAGUACCGUUCGAAUAGGGCGGUACCUUGACGGUACCUAACCAGAAAGCCACGGCUAACUACGUGCCAGCAGCCGCGGUAAUACGUAGGUGGCAAGCGUUGUCCGGAAUUAUUGGGCGUAAAGGGCUCGCAGGCGGUUUCUUAAGUCUGAUGUGAAAGCCCCCGGCUCAACCGGGGAGGGUCAUUGGAAACUGGGGAACUUGAGUGCAGAAGAGGAGAGUGGAAUUCCACGUGUAGCGGUGAAAUGCGUAGAGAUGUGGAGGAACACCAGUGGCGAAGGCGACUCUCUGGUCUGUAACUGACGCUGAGGAGCGAAAGCGUGGGGAGCGAACAGGAUUAGAUACCCUGGUAGUCCACGCCGUAAACGAUGAGUGCUAAGUGUUAGGGGGUUUCCGCCCCUUAGUGCUGCAGCUAACGCAUUAAGCACUCCGCCUGGGGAGUACGGUCGCAAGACUGAAACUCAAGGGGAUUGACGGGGGCCCGCCCAA
This 908-nucleotide ribosomal RNA is filed under the name Bacillus sp. SK-41. RNAcentral describes it as "bacterial SSU rRNA". It matches the Rfam family "Bacterial small subunit ribosomal RNA", at positions 39 to 928 of the family's 1533-position model. The record is from RNAcentral. Lineage: Bacteria; Bacillati; Bacillota; Bacilli; Caryophanales; Bacillaceae.